This 253-nucleotide ribosomal RNA is filed under the name uncultured bacterium. Its description in RNAcentral is "partial 16S ribosomal RNA". It matches the Rfam family "Bacterial small subunit ribosomal RNA", at positions 524 to 776 of the family's 1533-position model. The record is from RNAcentral.
UACGGGGGGGGCAAGCGUUGUUCGGAAUUACUGGGCGUAAAGGGCUCGUAGGUGGCCAACUAAGUCAGACGUGAAAUCCCUCGGCUUAACCGGGGAACUGCGUCUGAUACUGGAUGGCUUGAGUUUGGGAGAGGGACGCGGAAUUCCAGGUGUAGCGGUGAAAUGCGUAGAGAUCAGGAAGAACACCGGUGGCGAAAGCGUUCUGCUAGACCUGUACUGACACUGAGGGACGAAAGCUAGGGGAGCGAAUGGG